RNAcentral lists this ribosomal RNA (563 nucleotides) under Micromonospora sp. 434F09. RNAcentral's name for it is "bacterial SSU rRNA". It matches the Rfam family "Bacterial small subunit ribosomal RNA", at positions 93 to 671 of the family's 1533-position model. The record is from RNAcentral. Lineage: Bacteria; Bacillati; Actinomycetota; Actinomycetes; Micromonosporales; Micromonosporaceae.
GAGCGGCGAACGGGUGAGUAACACGUGAGUAACCUGCCCUAGUCUUUGGGAUAACCCUCGGAAACGGGGGCUAAUACCGAAUAUUACUUCCGGCCGCAUGGUUGGUGGUGGAAAGUUUUUCGGUCUGGGAUGGGCUCGCGGCCUAUCAGCUUGUUGGUGGGGUGAUGGCCUACCAAGGCGACGACGGGUAGCCGGCCUGAGAGGGCGACCGGCCACACUGGGACUGAGACACGGCCCAGACUCCUACGGGAGGCAGCAGUGGGGAAUAUUGCACAAUGGGCGGAAGCCUGAUGCAGCGACGCCGCGUGAGGGAUGACGGCUUUCGGGUUGUAAACCUCUUUCAGCAGGGACGAAGCGCAAGUGACGGUACCUGCAGAAGAAGCGCCGGCCAACUACGUGCCAGCAGCCGCGGUAAGACGUAGGGCGCGAGCGUUGUCCGGAUUUAUUGGGCGUAAAGAGCUCGUAGGCGGCUUGUCGCGUCGACUGUGAAAUCCCGCGGCUCAACUGCGGGCUUGCAGUCGAUACGGGCAGGCUAGAGUUUGGUAGGGGAGACUGGAAUUCCU